AUUUGGCAGGCGCAUGGUGGGGGAGUGCUAUGCACUCGCUGGUUUGGUAAGUAGACCAGUACGCCAAUCCUGCCACGCGCCUGCCCAAU
This 89-nucleotide non-coding RNA is filed under the name Chromobacterium sp. LK11. The record is from RNAcentral. Lineage: Bacteria; Pseudomonadati; Pseudomonadota; Betaproteobacteria; Neisseriales; Chromobacteriaceae.